Molecule: long non-coding RNA, 1191 nt
Filed under: Equus asinus (donkey)
Lineage: Eukaryota; Metazoa; Chordata; Mammalia; Perissodactyla; Equidae
Description: lncRNA (ENSEASG00005032294.1)
Source: RNAcentral
UAAGUCCUAAAGAAUGGCUCUCUUUGGCACCUGGUGUCAAGGCAUUAUUUAGAUGUUGUAGCCAAGUGCUUCACAAGCUUUAAAGUGCACAUGAAUCUUGUUAACAUGCAGAUCUGGUUCAGUGGGUCUGGGGUGGGACCUCAGAGUCUGCAUUCCUAACAAGAUCCUGGGAGAUACCAAUGCUGCUCGUGCGCAAACCACGCUCACAGGGAAAGCAAGCGGCCAGCAAACAGCUCACUUGUGCUGUUUUGUCAAGAAUGGACCUCAGAGGUUGUGUUUGAGAAGCUUGGCACACUGGUUACACAGGCGUGAGUGCCAGGUGGGUUCUCCUGGCAUCCAACACAGCUUCGGAGAAGCACAAGCAGGAAGCAAGGGACCCGUGAUGCAGGCCUGCAGCGAAGCCCUGGCCAGCCUGCCUCUCCACGGAGUUGGUUGAAGUCUGCAGAGAACUGGGCACCGCAGCUGUGCGUGGCACGAGAGGACAGUCUGAGAAGACCUGAAGUGAUGUACAAGAGGUGUUCAAUACAUGGUGCGUGUCACACUGUAAGAGCUCAAUAAAUAUUUGUUCACUGAAAAGACCCCAGGUGACUGGAUCACAGAACUGAAGAGUUGGAGGAGGCCGUGGAAAUCAGCUCAUCCAGCCUCCCACCUGGUGUAGGUUUUCCUUCUGAAGGAGCCAGGCAGAUGCUUCCCGAAAAGGGGAGCUCACCCACUGCUUGUAGAGAGUCCUUUUUGUGUGUAGGGACUUCUACCUCUGGGAUGUUUCCCUCACGUGGACAGAAAUCUAUCUCCCUGGACAUUCUACCAUCAGUUCCAGUUCAGCCCCCAACAACAUAAUACAGCCACUUCCUUUGCCAAAUAGCACCUGGAAAUGAGGUUUGCACGUGAAGGCAGCAUUUAAACAGGAAGCUGAGAGUCUUUAGUUCAGUGUCCUCCAACUUAAGUCUGGGUUGGCCAGCAUGGCCUGAGACUGGGUUUAACGCUACCCUACUUCACCCCACCCCAGGCACAGGUUCCCACAACCUGAGCAGCGCCUGUCCUGUUAGGGAGGGAGGCGAUUCACAUCCAACUGGGAGGAGCGGCCUUAUACGCUUAGAAAAGCAACUCUGUCAAAAUUGACACCUUCUGUCAUCCUCCCAUGUCGAGCACCCUGUCCUAGGAUCGUCACCCCUGAGCAUCCUUCCUGAGUGG